Molecule: ribosomal RNA, 253 nt
Filed under: uncultured bacterium
Lineage: Bacteria
Description: partial 16S ribosomal RNA
Rfam family: Bacterial small subunit ribosomal RNA
Source: RNAcentral
UACGUAGGGGGCUAGCGUUGUCCGGAAUCAUUGGGCGUAAAGCGCGUGUAGGCGGUCCGGUAAGUCCGCUGUGAAAGUCGGGGGCUCAACCCUCGGAUGCCGGUGGAUACUGUCGGGCUUGAGUACGGAAGAGGCGAGUGGAAUUCCUGGUGUAGCGGUGGAAUGCGCAGAUAUCAGGAGGAACACCGGUGGCGAAGGCGGGAUCCUGGGCCAGUACUGACGCUGAGGAGCGAAAGCGUGGGGAGCAAACAGG